This 1248-nucleotide ribosomal RNA is filed under the name metagenome. RNAcentral's name for it is "bacterial SSU rRNA". It matches the Rfam family "Bacterial small subunit ribosomal RNA", at positions 263 to 1498 of the family's 1533-position model. The record is from RNAcentral.
GCCUACCAAGGCUGCGAUGGUUAGCUGGUCUGAGAGGAUGAUCAGCCACACUGGAACUGACACACGGUCCAGACUCCUACGGGAGGCAGCAGUGAGGAAUUUUGCGCAAUGGGGGAAACCCUGACGCAGCAACGCCGCGUGAGUGAUGAAGGCUUUCGGGUCGUAAAGCUCUGUCAAGUGGGAAGAAAUCACUUGGUGAUAAUACCACCAUGUAUUGACGGUACCACUGAAGGAAGCACCGGCUAACUCCGUGCCAGCAGCCGCGGUAAUACGGGGGGUGCAAGCGUUAUUCGGAAUUACUGGGCGUAAAGCGCGCGUAGGCGGUUUGGCAAGUCAGAUGUGAAAGCCCGGGGCUCAACCCCGGAAGUGCAUUUGAAACUGCUUGACUUGAGUAUGGGAGAGGGAAGUGGAAUUCCUGGUGUAGCGGUGAAAUGCGUAGAUAUCAGGAGGAACACCGGUGGCGAAGGCGACUUCCUGGACCAAUACUGACGCUGAUGCGCGAAGGCGUGGGGAGCAAAACAGGAUUAGAUACCCUGGUAGUCCACGCAGUAAACGUUGAACACUAGGUGUAGCGGGUAUUGGCCCCUGCUGUGCCGCAGCUAACGCAUUAAGUGUUCCGCCUGGGGAGUACGGCCGCAAGGUUAAAACUCAAAGGAAUUGACGGGGGCCCGCACAAGCGGUGGAGCAUGUGGUUUAAUUCGACGCAACGCGAAGAACCUUACCUGGAUUUGACAUCUCGGGAAUCUCUUGGAAACUUGAGAGUGCCCUUCGGGGAGCCCGAUGACAGGUGCUGCAUGGCUGUCGUCAGCUCGUGUCGUGAGAUGUUGGGUUAAGUCCCGCAACGAGCGCGACCCCUAUCUUUAGUUACCAGCAUUCAGUUGGGGACUCUAAAGAUACUGCCCCGGUUAACGGGGAGGAAGGUGGGGAUGACGUCAAGUCCUCAUGGCCUUUAUAUCCAGGGCUACACACGUGCUACAAUGGACUGUACAAAGGGUCGCGACAUCGCGAGAUGAAGCCAAUCCCGUAAAGCAGUUCGUAGUUCGGAUUGGAGUCUGCAACUCGACUCCAUGAAGUUGGAAUCGCUAGUAAUCGUGGAUCAGCAUGCCACGGUGAAUACGUUCCCGGGCCUUGUACACACCGCCCGUCACACCACGAGAGUUGGUUGUACCAGAAGUCGUUGGGCCAACCCAUUAGGGAGGCAGGCGCCUAAGGUAUGGCUGAUGAUUGGGGUGAAGUCGUAACAAGGUA